Molecule: non-coding RNA, 68 nt
Organism: Cricetulus griseus (Chinese hamster)
Lineage: Eukaryota; Metazoa; Chordata; Mammalia; Rodentia; Cricetidae
Source: Rfam
GCCAUACUCAAAAUGGAGGCACUCUCCAGGCCUAGUGAAGAGGAAAGUGACCCCAUUUUGGGUGUUGC